This is a long non-coding RNA of Homo sapiens (human), 928 nucleotides long. Ensembl annotates it as long intergenic non-protein coding RNA 882. NCBI's taxonomy places the organism in Eukaryota, Metazoa, Chordata, Mammalia, Primates, Hominidae. The record is from Ensembl.
GCCCUUCUCGGGUCCCCUAGGUCGCGGGGCAGCCGGGGCGGAAGGGGCUUGUUCAUUAUUUUGAGAGUUUGUUGUGAACGUCAUAACCUUUCGUCCUUAAAUAUUGCCGAUACUUGACCUACGCAAGAGACAAUGUCAUGUGAUUCAGCCUAAUAUCUCAUUUCUUGUUGCCUAGAGCCAGUUCCCAAACUUUUGUUUGGGACACAGAACUCACCAUGGUGGUAGUACUGGUAGCAGCUGGGUGCCUCAGCCCCUGCAGGAUGGAGAUCCACUCUGGCAGACCUCCAGGACCCUUCACAUUCCACACCAUCUGAAAAAUCUCAAGAGAUAUGUAAUAAGGACUUAUGAACAGAAGACAUGUCUGUGUGCCAGGCAGCUGUGAGACAAAAUCGUGGAUCUCCGCACUGUAAACCCCCAGACCCAGGACUUACAUAACCUAGGGAAAUGUUGUUUCAGAAGGGAUGUGUAGGACAGUUGAAGUACAAGAACAUCAAGGUCAUUUCACCCAAGGGCAGAAUUUAUGGAGGAUGCAGCAUUCAAGGUUCUAUCUUGGAAGCAGAGACUGUGCCCUCACCAGAUGCUGAACCUGCUGAGCACCCUGAUCUUCCACUUCACCUUCAUCAGAACUACUGGGGCUGUGGCUGAGAUGUCACAUGGCAGAUAGGAUCACAAAUUUCUGUUGUAUCUGGAUGGAGAUCAGCAGGAGGAUCUAUGGACUGCUGUGAUUGCACCUGCCAUCUUAUGCAGAAAUGACCUGAAGACAGACUGAAACAACGUGUUCUACAGCCUGAAAAUAUCUACCUUGACUUACAGUUUUAUUAAUGCUGGUGUGAUCAGACUGGACAAAAAUUAGCAUAUGUUAUUAACUGAUCUAAUUCAAGUGCCAAUUCUUAAUAGAAACACAAAACAAUAAAAGCAAUUCAGAAAA